CGAGUUUGAUCCUGGCUAAUUGAACGCUGGCGGAAUGCUUCCACAUGAAGUCGAACGGCAGCACGGGAGCUCGCUCCCGGUGGCGAGUGGCGAACGGGUGAGUAAUACAUCGGAACAUGCCUAGUCGUGGGGGAUACCGUAGCGAAAGUUACGUUAAUACCGCAUACGUCCUGAGGGAGAAAGCAGGGGAUUCGCAAGAACCUUGCGCGAUUAGAGUGGCCGAUGCCUGAUUAGCUAGUUGGUGAGGUAAUGGCUCACCAAGGCGACGAUCAGUAGCGGGUCUGAGAGGAUGAUCCGCCACACUGGAACUGAGACACGGUCCAGACUCCUACGGGAGGCAGCAGUGGGGAAUUUUGGACAAUGGGGGCAACCCUGAUCCAGCCAUUCCGCGUGAGUGAAGAAGGCCUUCGGGUUGUAAAGCUCUUUCAGCGGGAACGAAACGGUGCGCUCUAACAUAGCGUAUUAAUGACGGUACCCGCAGAAGAAGCACCGGCUAACUACGUGCCAGCAGCCGCGGUAAUACGUAGGGUGCGAGCGUUAAUCGGAAUUACUGGGCGUAAAGCGUGCGCAGGCGGCUUUUUAAGCCAGACGUGAAAUCCCCGGGCUUAACCUGGGAAUGGCGUUUGGAACUGGAAGGCUAGAGUGUGUCAGAGGGGGGUAGAAUUCCACGUGUAGCAGUGAAAUGCGUAGAGAUGUGGAGGAAUACCGAUGGCGAAGGCAGCCCCCUGGGAUAACACUGACGCUCAUGUACGAAAGCGUGGGUAGCAAACAGGAUUAGAUACCCUGGUAGUCG
This 793-nucleotide ribosomal RNA is filed under the name uncultured bacterium. RNAcentral's name for it is "bacterial SSU rRNA". It matches the Rfam family "Bacterial small subunit ribosomal RNA", at positions 1 to 796 of the family's 1533-position model. The record is from RNAcentral.